AUCACUUCUUGGCCUUUUGGCUAGGAUCAAGUGUAGUAUCUGUUCUGAUCAGUUUAAUGUCUGGAAGGAAAAGAAAGAAAUCCAGAAGGAAGAAGAAUCAAG
Pan troglodytes (chimpanzee) is the source of this 102-nucleotide small nuclear RNA. It matches the Rfam family "U2 spliceosomal RNA". Rfam says of the family: U2 is a small nuclear RNA (snRNA) component of the spliceosome (involved in pre-mRNA splicing). Complementary binding between U2 snRNA (in an area lying towards the 5' end but 3' to hairpin I) and the branchpoint sequence (BPS) of the intron results the bulging out of an unpaired adenosine, on the BPS, which initiates a nucleophilic attack at the intronic 5' splice site, thus starting the first of two transesterification reactions that mediate splicing. The record is from Rfam. Lineage: Eukaryota; Metazoa; Chordata; Mammalia; Primates; Hominidae.